UGGCGAACGGGUGAGUAAUACAUCGGAACGUGUCCGUUUGUGGGGGACAACCACCCGAAAGGGUGGCUAAUACCGCAUAAGACCUGAGGGUGAAAGCCGGGGACCGCAAGGCCUGGCGCGAACGGAGCGGCCGAUGACUGAUUAGCUGGUUGGCGGGGUAAAGGCCCACCAAGGCGACGAUCAGUAGCUGGUCUGAGAGGACGACCAGCCACACUGGAACUGAGACACGGUCCAGACUCCUACGGGAGGCAGCAGUGGGGAAUUUUGGACAAUGGGGGCAACCCUGAUCCAGCCAUGCCGCGUGCGGGAAGAAGGCCUUCGGGUUGUAAACCGCUUUUGUCAGGGACGAAAAGGUGCGGGUUAAGAGCUAGCACUGAUGACGGUACCUGAAGAAUAAGCACCGGCUAACUACGUGCCAGCAGCCGCGGUAAUACGUAGGGUGCGAGCGUUAAUCGGAAUUACUGGGCGUAAAGCGUGCGCAGGCGGUUGGGUAAGACAGAUGUGAAAUCCCCGGGCUUAACCUGGGAACUGCAUUUGUGACUGUCCGACUGGAGUAUGUCAGAGGGGGGUGGAAUUCCAAGUGUAGCAGUGAAAUGCGUAGAUAUUUGGAAGAACACCGAUGGCGAAGGCAGCCCCCUGGGGCAAAACUGACGC
RNAcentral lists this ribosomal RNA (654 nucleotides) under uncultured beta proteobacterium. RNAcentral describes it as "bacterial SSU rRNA". It matches the Rfam family "Bacterial small subunit ribosomal RNA", at positions 96 to 746 of the family's 1533-position model. The record is from RNAcentral. Lineage: Bacteria; Pseudomonadati; Pseudomonadota; Betaproteobacteria.